RNAcentral lists this ribosomal RNA (1427 nucleotides) under metagenome. Its description in RNAcentral is "bacterial SSU rRNA". It matches the Rfam family "Archaeal small subunit ribosomal RNA". The record is from RNAcentral.
UCCCGUUGAUCCUGCGGGAGAUUGCUGCUAUUGGGAUUCGACUAAGGCAUGCAAGUCUUCUAGCAAUAGAGGCGAAAUGCUCAGUAACACGUCGCUAAUCUGCCCUUAGGUCAGGGAUAACCUCGGAAAACUGAGGCUAAUAUCUGAUAAGAGAUUAUAUCUGGAACGAUUUAUCUCCUAAAUUCGAGCCUAAGGAUGAGGCGGCGCCGGAUUAAGCUGUUGGCGGGGUAAUGGCCCACCAAACCGAAGAUCCGUACGGGCCUUGAGAGAGGUAGCCCGGAGAAGGACACUGAGAUACUGGUCCUAGCCCUACGGGGUGCAGCAGCCGCGUAACCUUUACAAUGCACGCAAGUGUGAUAAGGGGAUCCCAAGUGCUUAUGCUUUGCAUAGGCUUUUGCUAAGACUAAAACUCUUAACGAAUAAGUGGUGGGUAAGACUGGUGCCAGCCGCCGCGGUAACACCAGCGCCACGAGUGGCAAUCGCGAUUAUUGGGCCUAAAGCGUCCGUAGCCGGUUUGGCAAAUCUUUUUGUGAAAUCGUCAGGCUUAACUUGACGAAUGGCAGAAGACACUACCAAACUCGGGACCGGGAGGAGUCAGAAGUAUUCUAGGGGGAUCGGUAAAAUGAUAUAAUCCCUAGAGGACUACCGAUGGCGAAGGCAUCUGACUAGAACGGAUCCGACGGUGAGGGACGAAAGCCAGGGGAGCGAACCGGAUUAGAUACCCGAGUAGUCCUGGCCGUAAACGCUGCGAGCAAGGUGUUGCACAAACUACGGGUUUGUGCAGUGUCGAAAAGAAGUUGUUAAGCUCGCCGCCUGGGAAGUACGGUCGCAAGACUGAAACUUUAAGGAAUUGGCGGGGGAGCACCACAAGGGGUGCGGCGUGCGGUUUAAUCUAACUCAACGCAGAAAAUCUCACUAGGGGCGACGGCAGGAUGAAGGUCAGUCUGAAGGGCUUACCUGACGAGCCGAGAGGUAGUGCAUGGCCGUCGUCAGCUCGUGCUGUAAAGUGUCCUCUUAAGUGAGGCAACGAGCGAGACCUGUAUCCACAAUUGCUAACGACCGCUUGCGGGAUCGAGCACAUUGUAGAGUCUGCCCUGGAAACAGGGAGGAAGGUGCAGGCUACGGUAGGUCUGUAUGCUCCGAAUCUCCUAGGCUACACGCGCGCAACAAUGGUGAGGACAAUGGGAUGCAACUCCGAAAGGAGAAGCUAAACCUCUAAACCUUAUCCCAGUCCAGAUUGAGGAUUGAAACUCAUCCUCAUGACGACGGAAUCCCUAGUAAUCAGAAGUCAUCAUCUUCUGGUGAAUAUGUCCCUGCUCCUUGCACACACCGCCCGUCAAGCCAACCGAGCAGGGUUUUGGUAAAAUUCAGUUUUUUGAUUGAAUUGAAUCUAAGCUCAGUGAGGUGGGCUAAGUCGUCACAAGGUA